AGAGAGGCAGACAAACAGAGAGGCAGGCCGAGAGAGGCAGGCCGAGAGAGGCAGGCCGAGAGAGGCAGAGCCAGGAGAGAGAGGCAGAGCCAGGAGAGAGAGGCAGAGAGCCAGGAGAGAGAGGCAGAGAGCCAGGAGAGAGAGGCAGAGAGCCAGGAGAGAGAGGCAGAGCCAGGAGACGGGGAAAGAGAAAAGAGGAGAGCUGGGUAAAGGGGGAUACUUAUUCAGUUGCACAACUGAAUGUAUUCAACCGAAAUGUCUUCCAUAUUUACCCAACCCCUCUGAAUCACAGAUACUAGGGGUUACCUUAAUCGACAUACGUCAUUGGCGCCUGGGGAGCAGUUGUUGUUGGGGUUUAACUGUCUUGCUGCAGAUUCUUCCACCUUGCCAGCUCUGGGAUUCGAACCAGCAAACCUUUCGGUUACUGGCCCAUGCUCUUAACCGCUAGGCUAGCUGCUGCCCAGAGGAAGGGAGAGCCAGGAGAAAAGGAAGGAGGUAGAGCUGG
Molecule: long non-coding RNA, 505 nt
Organism: Oncorhynchus tshawytscha (Chinook salmon)
Lineage: Eukaryota; Metazoa; Chordata; Actinopteri; Salmoniformes; Salmonidae
Source: Ensembl